CAUUUGAUUCUGAUUUUUGUUUUUUUUUUCCAGGUAUCAUUUAGGAGCGGAUUUGUUAAGCUCGGGUUCGGUAGUUGGGGAAUCGUUAUUGAAAGAUCUUUGGCAACAUCAAGACGCCAUUUUGUGUUGUUCUCUAAAGCCGUAAAGCAAUCACCAGUCAGAGUUGUCUGUCAGAGAGCUUGCUUUUUGCAUGCAGCCGUAAAUCAAUAAUAACUAUUCAGAGUUGUCUGACAUGGAGCAUGCUUGGAAGUCUAUAAAUUCAACAUCAAGCUCAACACUCUACAAGCACUCAACUGAGAUGAUUUAAACCUUCAAAUUAAUAUCAAUACUCCUUUCGUCUGGGUCUUGCGUUGUUUCUCGGCUCUUCACAUCAAGGUCUUACAUUUUUUGUCGGCUUUUUACAUCUCUCUCUUGCAUUGUUAGGGAUUUCAAGACAAAAUACGAAGGUGUUGGUACAUCUCGCCAAAGAUUUCAAACAACGUGGAGUUUACACAUCAAAUGUUGUCUACCAGGAAGUGUUGCGUGAUUAAUUAACCGCAUCCGUAUCAAAACGAAGUAGAGGAGAAGAUACAAGAAAGUCUUGAGCGAACGGAUGUAUUGGUAAAACAGGAAGAGAUACAAGAGACUCCACGUAUUUUGUUUUUAGCGUUUUGUCCAGCUACUUGCCUGAUUUGUACUCUUCUUGUUUUUAAUUACAUCUACUUCCUUGUUUUGUA
Molecule: long non-coding RNA, 716 nt
Organism: Helianthus annuus (common sunflower)
Lineage: Eukaryota; Viridiplantae; Streptophyta; Magnoliopsida; Asterales; Asteraceae
Exons: 5
Source: RefSeq, a predicted model, not a curated record